Long non-coding RNA from Lolium perenne, 4970 nucleotides. RefSeq lists it as uncharacterized. The record is from RefSeq and is a predicted model, not a curated record. NCBI's taxonomy places the organism in Eukaryota, Viridiplantae, Streptophyta, Magnoliopsida, Poales, Poaceae.
CACAAUACGUCAAUUGCUUGGUCGUUCCUUCCGUCGUCGCGCUUCCUCGACCGUCGUCACAUGGGCCAGGCCCAAUGACUCCGCCGAAUCCGCCAAAUCCACCUACCCCUGCUGAUCUCCCAAAAAUUCAUCUACUCGGUCAUCAACCCAUCAAUCUGGCGUGUGCACCGCCGCCGGCGGACGCAGAGGAGUCGCUUUGGCGAGUUUCACCCGUCCGCACCAAAAGCGAGAGGGAUGCGGAGCUCGACGAACGGAUGACCAGAUAGUCGGCUUGACACAAGGUCAGGAAGCUUUCCUACGGGACGCUCAUCAAGGCGGUCGAUCUGAUGCAGCUAAUCGACCGGGCGGUUUUUCUUCUCAACAAGAUGGGGAGCGCUUCAAUCGACGUUCCGCUCCUCAAAAUCCAACGAUAGGACGACCACAGUCCACCGCCGGUCGACGACCCAGCGGCCUCCUACCGGCCCACGAUUCAGCCUCCUACUGGCCUUGAAGCAUCCGCCGAGGGAACGAACCAAUCGGCAUCAUGGGAGCCAGGCCGAGGGGUGCUAUCAUCGCCGGGAGGAGGCUGUCAAGCGCUGCUGGAGUCCGCGCCGCUGGCGGCGUUGCCGACAUCCACCAUGUGCGUCACUCCAGGUUAGGUAGCGCCACACCUGCCUUUCCUCUCCGAUGUUGUGCCUUCAUCUAUUUUUUCUCUCAUGUCAAAUACUAGAUGCGUGAUGUUGUGCUCUAACACGGCGGGCGCCUGUCACAAGAGCUUCCCGGUGACUCUGGGAUAUGCGCGAACUGGUGGUUAUUCCGGCAACUACCAGCACGGGAACUCCUGGCGGGCAGGUCUUAGUACGAGUGCACAUGGCGUUUCCAGCAGGCGACAAGGCUGGUUGCAUGCUACGUCGCCUCGAGUCGCCGUCGUGGCAUGCAAGAUAUUACAUCUCUCUGUACGCUGCUGGAGUGCUGGUCGAGUACAACUACCCCAAGUUCAUCGCCAAGAAGGUGUGAAUCAACAUGCCAUGGUGGUAUCUCGCUGCCAAUAAAUAGAUGAGCCCCUUCCUCACGCAGUACACUAACAUCAAGUUCGUUUUUCUACAUCCAGGCCAAGUCACUUGAUACCCUCUUUAAGUAUUAUGCGUGACAUACUUUUUCCUUUAUUGUUAAAUCUUUAAGGGAUUUAUCCUUAAUUAUUGUCCAUCCUCUAUGAAUAAAAAAAAAUUACAUCGCGAGGCAGGGGAAGUCCAGUUCAAUUUGGAGUCUUCUCCAAAGAAGAUGAUCCUGAGUUCACCACCUUUGACUUUGUCAGCGAUCUCUCCCUCAAAUGUUAUUAAAAAAACAUCGAGAACUCUGUCACUGACCCAUACUUCUACACAUCCUUCUACACGUUCUAAUUUGUUGCUUGCUUUUUAUGGAAUUUUUUCGUAUUGCUUCUAAAUUGAGAAAAAAUGUGUUACUUAUAGCUGGUCACCACGUGUAUCGCCAGCCGAGGGUGAUCAAGGCGCGGAUCACGAUGACACACUGGAAACUCCAGGGCGGCGAUACAGAUCUGCUGAAUAACAAGAGCACUACUUCACUAGGAGAUGUGAGAAUAACUGGACAAGUUCAGUGGUGUGCGCGAGGCAAUGAUAUGCUCUCACCAUUUAGUAGUGGCUAUUGAAAAAACUAAAUGUUUAGAGCUGGUGCGGCAUGUAUCUCCAUUAACCCUUUCAGAUUUUUUCAGCGCAGUUGCGAUGGUUCCUAAUGGAUACAUAGAUAUAGCAGUUGCCAUUGUUCAUUGUGCUGUCCUCUCUAUACCCACAAUUCAACAAAAGGUUUUAUUUGCGUGUUCCCUUCAAAAAGUAUUUUAGCAGCCAGCCAAUAGAGAAAAUUGUACCAUUCAUUUUUUAUAAGGAAAACCUGCAUCCUGGGGCCAAGAUUAAUGGUUCAUAUUUAGCUUAAACAGAAUGUAGACCAAUGACUUUUGUGAUGUUAUUUAUUUAAUAUCUCUACAGCUUCCUUUAAUGCAAUCCUAAGUAUGCCUACUACAAACUUAAUCCUUGGUCAUCUGAAGACAAAUAAGCAGUUAUUGACACUUUUGUAGGCAUACAGUUUGAUAAUUCUCUCUGCACGCAUUCAAAGCUUGGUUUGCUCCCAAAUCAACAAGGAACAUAUGAAGAAGUAUAUACAUACUACAGAGAUAGGUCAUGUCUUACCAGAAUAUCAAAGUCCGCCUACCGCCUCUGAUAAAAAACGAGACGGUCUGGUUGGCCAACAUCACGCCAAACAUUUCUAGGAAGACGCUGCAAGAUGUUCAGUUCAAAGGUCAACCCCAUAGCCGCCACGGUCCAGGAGGGGGCCAAGGAGAACGCAGAGCGAUGCGCCGAUGCGCCAUCUCGAGGCGCUCGACCAACGGCUCAACAUCACGUCGCAGGCCUUGGAGAGGAUGCAACACUCGUCGCCGGAAGAAGACGACCGGACCCGGUGGAUUCCAUGGUCGUGUGGAAGGGCACACUGCACACAACAGGAGCGUGGACAGGCAACACUACAGGGGCGUCUUCGGUGGCCCACAGGCUCGCCUCGCCUCACGCAGGUAUGGAGCGCAACAGGACUCAGGGCCGCGCGGGUUUUCAGGGCGGCGGUGGUUUGGGACGCACAUGCGGCAGUGUUCUCCGAGGCGUUAGCGGCGGCGGUAGAUCUUGCCGGUGCGAAGAUUUCUAGCGGGCGAACCGCUGCUAGACAAGAUUGGUCUGAUGUGAUGGUGUGUGACGCACUCUUCUCCCCCUCACAAAUUCUUCUCUCUGCAUGGUGAGGUGUGGCGCGGUAGCUUCGGCCUUCGUGGGCUAAUCCGGGUUUGCAAUCAGACUUGGUUCCCUUGCACUAAAUAAGUUUUCUUGUUGAUGAGCGUUUUAGCUUCUUUCACUGAAUCAAAUUUCCAGGCAGGUGUCAUGUACUAAAUAUAGUCUUUAUUUGGGUAGGUUUGUGAAAUGAAUAUGAGUGAGGAGUGUGAGAUGGACUGAAGCAUUGAGAAUUGAGUUCUAGCUCAGUGGCAAGGCAAGCGAGUGCGCAGCCAGCCCACCCGGGUUCGAAUCCCCAUCCGCGGUAAUUUUGCAGGAGGGGCGAAUAAACCGGGUUAUCAUCCAUCCACGUCCAUCCGCGGGGAGAGUCUCAUUCUACCUAACAACGUAUAGCCAAAGGAGGGAUCAUUUCCCCGUUGGUCAACGUUUGAGAUGGACUGAAGCAUUAGCCGUUAACUGAUUUAGCAUUCAUGUAUUGAUGUACGACGUAACCUAUAUUGCUAAUUCAUAUUAUAGAUAAUUUUAAAAUAAUCAAAUUACUUGUAACAUCAUCUGAUUGUAAUGUAUGUUUCUCUCAGGAGUGUUUUCUUGUAAAUAUGGACAAAGAGUAAUGUUGAUGGAAUUUAAGUGAGUAUAUUCUGUGAGUUCGUACAUGCUCAUAAAUGACUAUCACACAUGCAUUCUUGGAGACUAGAACCAGUCAAAAUAUGUGUAAAUCUGUUCAUGAAUGCUGGCACUACUCUAUAAUGAAUUUCAUGACAUUAUUGUUUUCGCUAUGAAAAUACUCCUUUUGUGAAUCACGGUCUCGCGGAGUGGGGUAUGGUGGCAAUGGUGGCGGAGUGGGGUGAGGUUGCCGAUUGCUGCUUGAAUAAAAUGGUAAACCUUAUUUUAGGUUUUGCUUCUGAAUUAGCCAGAUAAAAUGGUAAUCAAUAAUCAUUAGAAUAUCUGUUGAUAAAUUUCUACGCAAACUGUAUAGCUGGCCAGCAAAAUCUUGCUUGUUUUCUUUUCAAAUGAUAUAGAGUUGAAAUUGAUCACAAGUUUACUACUUGGCCGCUGACUUUCGGGGGAAGGUUGCGAAGAUAUGCAUUGUUUAUCUUGUUAUUUUAUUCCUGGGAUUGGAGGAGCCAUUAGUCCUAGCUCCUAACCCAUAUGUUUUAUUUUUUCAAGAGUACCGGUAUUCAGACUUCAGAUGCCUAAAAAGCGAUCCAGGAGUUGCACGUCGUGCAGUGACUCCGAACCUACACGCUCGCCACCUAGCCUUCACCGCCCAUGUGCUCUACCUCAACGCCUACUCCUCGAAUAAGGAGCAGGUGCCUCGCGUACACCGCGUUCAUUUUUCUUUUGCACUCGGUUUUUCCAGCGUACGUCAUAUGUAUGUUCAACUAUAUGACACCAUGACACCAAUAAAUUAGACGAUAGGCAUGUAUCCUAUUACUUCUGUUUUAUAUUUUCAGUACAGUUGAUUUACAGAACGAGAAUUCAAGGAUCCUUGGAUAAGUGCUCUUCCAAAACUGAAGGAAUUCAAGAGUAGUAUACCCCAGGCAACAUAGAGUAGUAUAUCCCAAGUUCCAUGUCUGUUUAUGAAAUCGUGCUACUAUAAUCUUCCAAAACAUAGAGUAGUAUAGAGAUGUGAUUGCACCUGAAUUGACAUUCACGUUAUGCUUCCUGGUUAGCUCUUGGUCACCGUUACAAGACAGGUAGAAAGAAACUGUUUUAUUUUUACCUUCUCUUCGGUUCAUUUUUAGCCAACCACAUCAAUUUUGAAUACGUGUUGUAUAGAAUUAGUGGCUCCUGGACAAUAUUUAUCUUUGACUGUCCGCUUUCUUGCAUACUAUUGACACUGUUAUUGUUAGGAUACCAUUAGGCAUUGCAUGCAGUAUGGAAAAAAAGAAAUGAGCAUAUGAGGUUGAUUUUGAUUCCAAUCUAUUAUUUACAGGUCAAGGAUCAAAGGUACAUCAAAUGCAAAACUUUCAAGUACAGGAGGAGGACGGAGAUAUGCUCGUUAUUGAAGGUGUAUGGUAGCACUUUGAUAGUGUUUUUGAAGCUGAAGGUGAAGAGGAGGUGUCGAGCAAUUGAAGGAAUUCCUAGAGGACCUAGAGACAGCGGCCAAGGAGAUUUUGUUCUAAAGAAAUGUUUUUUCUGUUGGUGUCAUGACUUGUAAUAACCAAUGAUUUUGAAUUAACAUGAGAGAUAUUUCUAUAAGUAAUA